RNAcentral lists this ribosomal RNA (279 nucleotides) under uncultured bacterium. Its description in RNAcentral is "partial 16S ribosomal RNA". It matches the Rfam family "Bacterial small subunit ribosomal RNA", at positions 506 to 784 of the family's 1533-position model. The record is from RNAcentral.
UGCCAGCAGCCGCGGUAAGACGGAGGGCUCAAACGUUGUUCGGAAUCACUGGGCAUAAAGAGCACGUAGGCGGCCCGCUAAGUCAGAUGUGAAAUCCCCCGGCUCAACCGGGGAACUGCAUCUGAUACUGGCGAGCUCGAGGACGGUAGAGGUGAGCGGAACUCCAGGUGGAGCGGUGAAAUGCGUAGAUAUCUGGAGGAACACCGGUGGCGAAAGCGGCUCACUGGACCGUCUCUGACGCUGAGGUGCGAAAGCUAGGGUAGCAAACGGGAUUAGAUA